CUUCAAAGUUGGCGUUGUGGGUUGGAUAUACGAUCGCAUGGAAACAUUUUGACUUAUAAAGAAUGUCACAUCUUCCUAAAUAGAAGAGCGAAGGAGCACGGAGUGUUAAGAAUCUUUGGAAGGGAACCGCGGACCAGUGAAAGUUUUUAAAACUAUACCCGACAUGGACUGACAACCGGAUCCCGCUUCAUCAAUCUGGCAAUCUCUAAACGAAACAAACGAUAUAUCGCCAGUUAUAGAAAUAUAGUGUGCAGGAAGAAUAAAUUAAUAUCUGUCUGAGCGAAAGAAGUGUCUUAGCGGCUUAACGAGUAGUGAUUGUUACGUCAAUGUUGACUCAUUUCUGAUUGGUUAUUGUUAGGAAUUGA
Molecule: long non-coding RNA, 365 nt
Organism: Styela clava
Lineage: Eukaryota; Metazoa; Chordata; Ascidiacea; Stolidobranchia; Styelidae
Source: RefSeq, a predicted model, not a curated record